GAUGAACGCUGGCGGCGUGCUUAACACAUGCAAGUCGAACGGAAAGGCUCCUGCUUGCAGGGGUACUCGAGUGGCGAACGGGUGAGUAACACGUGGGUGAUCUGCCCUGCACUUCGGGAUAAGCCUGGGAAACUGGGUCUAAUACUGGAUAGGACCACAUUUUGGAUGGUGUGGUGGAAAGUUUUUCGGUGUGGGAUGAGCUCGCGGCCUAUCAGCUUGUUGGUGGGGUAAUGGCCUACCAAGGCGUCGACGGGUAGCCGGCCUGAGAGGGUGUACGGCCACAUUGGGACUGAGAUACGGCCCAGACUCCUACGGGAGGCAGCAGUGGGGAAUAUUGCACAAUGGGCGCAAGCCUGAUGCAGCGACGCCGCGUGGGGGAUGACGGCCUUCGGGUUGUAAACUCCUUUCGCUAGGGACGAAGCGCAAGUGACGGUACCUGGAGAAGAAGCACCGGCUAACUACGUG
Molecule: ribosomal RNA, 465 nt
Filed under: uncultured bacterium
Lineage: Bacteria
Description: partial 16S ribosomal RNA
Rfam family: Bacterial small subunit ribosomal RNA
Source: RNAcentral